CCUGGUGGCUCAGAUGGUAGAGAAUCUGCCUGCAAUGCAGGAGUGCCAGGUUCGAUCCCUGGGUCAGGA
This 69-nucleotide transfer RNA is filed under the name Ovis aries (sheep). It matches the Rfam family "tRNA". Rfam says of the family: Transfer RNA (tRNA) molecules are approximately 80 nucleotides in length. Their secondary structure includes four short double-helical elements and three loops (D, anti-codon, and T loops). Further hydrogen bonds mediate the characteristic L-shaped molecular structure. tRNAs have two regions of fundamental functional importance: the anti-codon, which is responsible for specific mRNA codon recognition, and the 3' end, to which the tRNAs corresponding amino acid is attached (by aminoacyl-tRNA synthetases). tRNAs cope with the degeneracy of the genetic code in two manners: having more than one tRNA (with a specific anti-codon) for a particular amino acid; and 'wobble' base-pairing, i.e. permitting non-standard base-pairing at the 3rd anti-codon position. The record is from Rfam by way of RNAcentral. Lineage: Eukaryota; Metazoa; Chordata; Mammalia; Artiodactyla; Bovidae.